RNAcentral lists this ribosomal RNA (393 nucleotides) under uncultured bacterium. RNAcentral describes it as "partial 16S ribosomal RNA". It matches the Rfam family "Bacterial small subunit ribosomal RNA", at positions 523 to 918 of the family's 1533-position model. The record is from RNAcentral.
AUACGGAGGAUGCGAGCGUUAUCCGGAUUUAUUGGGUUUAAAGGGAGCGUAGGUGGACAGUUAAGUCAGUUGUGAAAGUUUGCGGCUCGACCGUAAAAUUGCAGUUGAUACUGGUUGUCUUGAGUACAGUAGAGGUGGGCGGAAUUCGUGGUGUAGGGGUGAAAUGCUUAGAUAUCACGAAGAACUCCGAUUGCGAAGGCAGCUCACUAGACUGUUACUGACACUGAUGCUCGAAAGUGUGGGUAUCAAACAGGAUUAGAUACCCUGGUAGUCCACACAGUAAACGAUGAAUACUCGCUGUUUGCGAUAUACAGUAAGCGGCCAAGCGAAAGCAUUAAGUAUUCCACCUGGGGAGUACGCCGGCAACGGUGAAACUUAAAGGAAUUGACGGGG